CCUUUCGGGGUGGAUUAGUGGCGAACGGGUGAGUAACACGUGGGCAAUCUGCCCUUCACUCUGGGACAAGCCCUGGAAACGGGGUCUAAUACCGGAUAACACUCUGUCCCGCAUGGGACGGGGUUAAAAGCUCCGGCGGUGAAGGAUGAGCCCGCGGCCUAUCAGCUUGUUGGUGGGGUAAUGGCCUACCAAGGCGACGACGGGUAGCCGGCCUGAGAGGGCGACCGGCCACACUGGGACUGAGACACGGCCCAGACUCCUACGGGAGGCAGCAGUGGGGAAUAUUGCACAAUGGGCGAAAGCCUGAUGCAGCGACGCCGCGUGAGGGAUGACGGCCUUCGGGUUGUAAACCUCUUUCAGCAGGGAAGAAGCGAAAGUGACGGUACCUGCAGAAGAAGCGCCGGCUAACUACGUGCCAGCAGCCGCGGUAAUACGUAGGGCGCAAGCGUUGUCCGGAAUUAUUGGGCGUAAAGAGCUCGUAGGCGGCUUGUCACGUCGGAUGUGAAAGCCCGGGGCUUAACCCCGGGUCUGCAUUCGAUACGGGCUAGCUAGAGUGUGGUAGGGGAGAUCGGAAUUCCUGGUGUAGCGGUGAAAUGCGCAGAUAUCAG
Molecule: ribosomal RNA, 608 nt
Filed under: Streptomyces cyaneofuscatus
Lineage: Bacteria; Bacillati; Actinomycetota; Actinomycetes; Kitasatosporales; Streptomycetaceae
Description: bacterial SSU rRNA
Rfam family: Bacterial small subunit ribosomal RNA
Source: RNAcentral